RNAcentral lists this long non-coding RNA (492 nucleotides) under Homo sapiens (human). RNAcentral's name for it is "non-protein coding ZKSCAN2-DT:17". Lineage: Eukaryota; Metazoa; Chordata; Mammalia; Primates; Hominidae. The record is from RNAcentral.
ACCUGGUCCAGGGUUGCGGUCGGGGAUGGAGCGGUUACCCCGACCCUGCGGGACCUUCUUCCUCUGGCGGAGGUGCACGGCGCGGCGUGGUGUUUUUCUGGCGGAAGUAUCUGUGCGUGGCCCCAGGCCCUUCCCGGCGCGGUCUCAUCUGGGGCCACUUGUUGGCCCUCGCGUUGGGGAGGUUCAUGUGGUGCAUCCUGAUGAGAAGGGGGGUCACAGGGGUCUCGGGGCCAGGGUUCAGCCAGCCAGGCCCCAGCUUGCUCUCUUCUGGUGCUGCCCCUGUCCCUGAAUUCAUAGACCCGGCUUUCCCUCUCUUGAGCACCUACUAUGUGCCAGGCUGCGCUUUGCGCAUGUAGCAGAGGCAACAGUGUCACCUGGGAAGCUGGUUUCCCCCAAAGGAACUCUUGUCUGUCCGUUGUUGCAGAGCCAGCGCAUGAGACCAAGUAUACAAGAUUUUAGAGACGGGAUUUCACCAUGUUGCCAAGCCUGUCU